Molecule: non-coding RNA, 1029 nt
Organism: Zootermopsis nevadensis
Lineage: Eukaryota; Metazoa; Arthropoda; Insecta; Blattodea; Termopsidae
Source: RefSeq, a predicted model, not a curated record
AUCCGAUAUGUAGGGUGCGGCAAAGCUUAAUGUUAUUUGUACGUAACUUGCAUUUUGAAGUUAAAGUACAGAAAACUUUUGAAGUCAUUAGUAUGUGAGUCAAAGUGUGUUUGUUUUUCGUAUUUUGUAAUCGAACCAAACAUUUUAUGCCUUUCCAUUUAUAGUAUUCUUUAAGACAGUUCCUGUCAUCUUUUAAAUUUCUUUUUAUGGAAAUUACCGGUGUGGCUGAUGUUGCCUAAUUAGUUGUGUGAAAUUGAAGUUGACACGGCAACAGUAUUACGCCAUGUAGUUGACCGACGUUUCAGAGGUGCUUUCUGCCUCCAGCAGUUGUGUUUAGAGAUUAAUCUAUUCAACAGUUUCAGUGAGUCACAAAAGGAAUUGACACCAGUUGCUGUUUUCAUCACAGUUCCUGUGAAUUUAGUGUUUCUGAUAGUAACAAAGUUUUGAGAAAGUUAGACCACUUUAAGUUUUAUAGUCCAUGUGUCAUGGCAUACUCAUGUCUGCUGGCUGUGCAUUAUUGUAGUGGGACACUGAACUGUUACUUCAUAGUGAAAGUCCAGACAUCAGCCCCAAAGUAUGGGGGUUUCAAUUCCCUGUUUGCAUAUCAUAAGGAUUAGGGGCUGUGGAAUGUUUAAUCACCUGAGGGUGAAGGCUCACACCAGCCCUGAAAAUGCCACACACAUAUGCAAACAUGCACAGUUCCAGAAUUGAGAAUACAUUAUGCAUGUGUAUGUGUGUGUGUGUAUAUGAAUAUGAACACCCAGCAAGUGGUCAAAGAUGCCCAGAUGACAGCAUGAAGCCCAAGACACGUGAUGCACGACUACACUAUGGCUGCUAAGGCCAUUGUUAUGUUUACACCCCACUCAACUUUUUAAAACUCAAUACUGUGGGUAACAUUCUUUGGCCUUGUUGUAUUAGAAUGCUGUGUCAGGUUUUAUCCUCCCGCAAUUUGUGUGUCCUUCAGUAUGUUAUUGUUAAUUUCCCAAUGUAUAUUAUGCACCACAAAAUAAACAUGUUCUUUAAAUUACA